RNAcentral lists this ribosomal RNA (251 nucleotides) under uncultured bacterium. RNAcentral's name for it is "partial 16S ribosomal RNA". It matches the Rfam family "Archaeal small subunit ribosomal RNA", at positions 474 to 727 of the family's 1478-position model. The record is from RNAcentral.
UACCAGCACCCCGAGUGGUCAGGACGUUUAUUGGGCCUAAAGCAUCCGUAGCCGGUUCUACAAGUCUUCCGUUAAAUCCAACUGCUUAACAGGUGGGCUGCGGAAGAUACUAUAGAGCUAGGAGGCGGGAGAGGCAAGCGGUACUCGAUGGGUAGGGGUAAAAUCCGUUGAUCCAUUGAAGACCACCAGUGGCGAAGGCGGCUUGCCAGAACGCGCUCGACGGUGAGGGAUGAAAGCUGGGGAGCAACCGG